AUACUAUGUUUGCCAUGUAGGUUAUUUUAAUGUUUUAACGUGCGCAAUUUGAUAAAAGGUUAGACAAAAUUGCGCACAAAAUAUUUAAUUCACUUUUUAAGCUCUUGUCUCCAGCACAAGAACUUGGUGUAUAGUCUUUUUGUUAUGAAACAAUAAGAAAGGGCUUCCACUUUGAGCGUUAAGAAAAAUGUCAGGAGAUGUCCAACCAAGGAAAAGGAAAGAUAAAAAGAGAAAGAAAGACGAUCUGGGCUUAGAGGAACCUCGUGGUACUUCUGCAGCACUUGGCGAGGGUGAUGUGUUCAUCCAUUCUUACCAAGAUCAUGGAACUGGCGGACACUGGUGUGCUAAAAUCAUAUUCUUUUCUCUAAUGGCUGUGUUAAUAACUCUGAUUGGCCUCAUUAUCUUGGAAAACAGAGGAUUGAGCGAAUUGGAAGCAAACUCAGUUGAAUCUCGUUACUCUGGUGUACUAGAAGGUUGGAUUGAUGAUGGAAUAGAUGACCAUCACGAUGAACACACAUUAGAAUUGAAACAUCCUGAUGGUGAUGAUGAUGAGUUUCAUAAUGAUAAUGGUGUUGAUAACACUGGUGAUGAAGAAGAUCUAGAUGAUAACGAUGGUGAGAGUGAAGAACAUGACAAUGAUGUUGAUGAGGAUGAUGUUGAAGACAAUGAUGACGAAGAUAAUGUUGAAGACAGUGAUGAUGAAGAUGAUAUAGAAGAUCAGACCAUAGAACAAGAAAUUGAUCAAGAAUUUGAGAUAUUUUCUAUUGAGCAGGAUGAAGAGAACAAAUUCAGUAGUUAUCAAGAGGAGGAUGAAGAUACUAACAAUAUAGAAGAAGAGGAUGAUGCUAGUGAUGAUGAAGAUGAUCCUGAUGAUGUAGAGGAUGAUCUUCCAGACAAUGAAGAUGAUGAGAAUGUCAGUGCUGAAAAUUUUGAUGAUAAAUAUUCUAAUUCCAAAGAAAAUGAUGAUGACAAUAAUUAUAGAGAUGACAUUAAUGAUGACAGUAGAGAAGAUGAGCAUGAUGAAAUUUAUGACAAUGAUAUUGAAGAGGUGCACAAAACAGUUGAAGAUCAAAAUGAUGACGAUGGUGAAGAUGAUGAAGAAAUCGAAAGAAUUGUCCGUGAGAUAUCUGACGAGGAUAUACUGUCUGCUGAAGAGCCUUCAAUGAGUCGGAAUGAGGAGUUGGAUGAAUCCAAUGAAGACACGAAUACUGAUGAAGAUCUGCUGAACGAUGAAGACGAGCCCCCAGUCGAGAAAAUCACCAUCCCUCCUGCUGGUAAACCCUAUGAUGAGAUCGAGGAAGACCCGUUACCCCAAAAGACCCGGGAUAACUUAGCUGAUGAAGAAUUGUAUGAAAAACAACAGGAGGAGUUGCGCAGAGAACAAGAGGCUCACAAUACGAAAAGCAUGUGGCUGAAGCUGCUUGUGGGCGGUGCUUUAUUGGCGGCUACUCAUGCUGUCGUGCGUCGCGCCACAGGCCCACGUGAUGAACCUGAAGUCGAGGAACAAGUUCUUAGGGAAGAAACAACUGUAGUGGAUAGACGUAUGACACUAAUACCACCCGAAGUCACAGACAUAUUACCGAUUACGCGAACAGUUCCAAUAGGGGGUGAACCAAAGGAGAUAGUGAAGGAAACUGUUUCAAAUGUUCAUUCUACUCCUUUGUCAAAACAGGCUACUGAAAAAAAAGUAGAAACAAUAAUUACAAGGAAGGAAGAAGAGGAAAAUGAAGAUGUUGAAGAGGAUGAAGAACUCUAUAGCGAUGAAGAAGAGGAUGUGGAAGAAGAGCAGAUUAAAGAAGUCCCGAAGAAGGUUGAGCCUCAAUCAAUGAAAAGUGUUACAGAAAAGAAGACAGAGGUGGAAGAAGUUGUCGACGAUGAUCCCGAAGAUGUUGAAAUUAUUGAGGAAGAAGAAGAAGAAGAAGUCGAAGAUGAGGAAGAGGAAGACGAAGAAGAAAUAUCAGAUGUUGAUGACGAGGAGUUAUUGCGUCGCUUAGAAGCGAAGUACGGGCGUCUGCCUGAACCAGAAAGACCAUACAAAAACAGUAAAGAAUUCUGUCUGCGUGUAUUUGCUUCCCUGUAGACGCCGUUUUCGCAUGAAUAUUAACUAUAACAUCUCACUUGACUUUACUAACAUAAUAAGAUGGUGGUAACAAUAUAGAGGAUGAGUGGCCGGGGGAACCUGAUGAUACUUACUGGCGCCAACAGCUUGAUCUUGCGGAAGAUGAACUGAGACAGGGUUGGCUCGAAUAACCCGCUUUAGUUUAUUUGCUCGUUGUGCCAUUUUUUUUUUAA
RNA transcript from Leptidea sinapis, 2292 nucleotides. It is a transcript of the gene named glutamic acid-rich protein-like, with no coding region annotated. Lineage: Eukaryota; Metazoa; Arthropoda; Insecta; Lepidoptera; Pieridae. The record is from RefSeq and is a predicted model, not a curated record. The transcript is spliced from 13 exons.